UGGGGUGUGGCUCAGUGGUAGAGCACUAGCCCAGCACACCGUGAGCACUGUGUUCAAUCCUCAGCACCACAU
This 72-nucleotide transfer RNA is filed under the name Ictidomys tridecemlineatus (thirteen-lined ground squirrel). RNAcentral's name for it is "Spermophilus tridecemlineatus (thirteen-lined ground squirrel) tRNA". It matches the Rfam family "tRNA". Rfam says of the family: Transfer RNA (tRNA) molecules are approximately 80 nucleotides in length. The record is from Rfam by way of RNAcentral. Lineage: Eukaryota; Metazoa; Chordata; Mammalia; Rodentia; Sciuridae.